GAACAGUUCUAUUUAUGCAGCAAGUAAAUGAUCACAGAGCAAGCAUUAGUGCCCAUUGCCCUGAAGGACAGAGAGCUGUAUAUGGCCCUUCAGGACAGAAUUCACAGCCAUGAAGAAGAGGCAGAAGAAGUCUGUCUGAUUCUUCCCAGGUGCAGCUCGGUGCCAAGAGCUCCCAUCUUCCCUCAGCACGUGUUCCUGUCUCAUUACCCGGCAAGUCAUUUUAAUUAACACCAUCUAAUAUGGGUUGAGGUGUAUUUUGCAAAUGUCAGCACUCUUAAUUUUUUUCCCCUCUGCGGACCGAAUGUGGAAAGCUACAAGAGGACAGUGCUAAAUGAUUUCAGUUGAUUUAGCAGUGGUAAAGUAAGUCAUUAGUGAAGUGCUUUAUGAAGCCAUAAAAGUCCUUUCCAAGUCCUUUAUGGGAUUCUUGGGGAAAAUCCGUUUGUCACAGAAGAUUAUGCACUGACUGCUCCUCACCUGAAGAACCAAUGGGUAGGAGAAAGCACAGAGUCCUGCAUCUCACCCUCAGACACAAACAGCACUGCGCAUCCCCAGGCAGCUCUGCUCUACCAGGUUCUGCAGAUCUGGUGGGUAUAACUGCAGGGAAGCUGAUGCAGUGUCUGGGACUGAUACUUCUGUAGCACCACUGCCAUGUGAACUACUGAAAAAGAACCAAUGUCAAGAGCAAAGGAUAUGACGGAGGCAGCGACCGUGGACUGCCCUGUUCCCUGGGGUCUCAUUAAGCUUGGUUUUGGAGAUGAUGUACUCAGUGAUUUACUGCUUCCAAUACACUCUGGAGUAUCUAGUCUGAUACUCCUUGCAUAGAAAUGGCACAUUCAUAAACUGGAAGCUUUGUGUAAAGGCUCCUCCUCCUCAUUACAGCGGAUCAACAGACUGUGUAAAACCUUUGAAAAACAGGGUACUAUGCAGAUCAUGUCUACCAGCAUGUGCAGAGAUGUGUUCUCCAAUGCAUGCCUCUUAGACUGGUGGUGUGCUGGCCCUGAACAUGAAAUACAACAGGUGCUGUGCUCAGCAUUGUUGUCUCUCAUCACCCACAGGUGUGAAACAAUCUGUAAUAUUUAAUAUUUAUUUGGCAGACAAGAUUUAAUGCAGACUUGAUGCACAAGGCUUGUUGUUUUCCUCUCCCUUACAUUUGUACAAUUUCACUGGCUUCAGUUCAAGCUUCAUUAGGAACAGACUAUUACGCACAACAGCCAAGGAUGUAUGGCUCAUAACGAGCACUGGGGUUUGAAGGCUUCCUCCUACUCUGUACCAGUGAGCCAAGCCCGUAAAGCUGCUACAACAUCAUCUUUUUUCAUUCAUUGCCUGUGAAUAGUGGAAAGCAGCAUGUAACUGCAUGGCACUGGGCUGCCCAGCUCCCUUGCUGGCAACCCCAUCAGCAACCCUCACCCUGUGCCCUGUUAUCUCCUUAUCUCCCAACUUCAGUGGGCAUAUCGGCUGCUGGCUGAGCAAUUCCAGGCUGGAAAUGUACUUGACCUAAAUAAAGGAGUCUCAGCUCUAACCUUGAGUUGUUUC
This 1533-nucleotide long non-coding RNA is filed under the name Coturnix japonica (Japanese quail). RNAcentral's name for it is "lncRNA (ENSCJPG00005008128.1)". The record is from RNAcentral. Lineage: Eukaryota; Metazoa; Chordata; Aves; Galliformes; Phasianidae.